CAUCUUUUAACGUCUUUUGGUAUGACGCGGCUGGGGAUCGAACCCCGGACCUUCCGCUCUCCGGGCGGACGCUCUACCAUUAGACCACGGAGGCGGUGAUGAACACUUUGAAGCUUAAGUGAACUGCGAGAGAUUCUGGACAACCAAGAGGUGUGUGUCCACCCUGUGAUGACCAGCCUCAUCACAGAUCUUGGAGAACGUGGAGUAGCCGGACAACCAAGAGGUGUGUGUCCACCCUGUGAUGACCAGUCUCAUCAGUGAGAUCUUGGAGUACGUGGUGGAGCCAGAGGGACAAGUAAAGAAAAUGAAGCUGCGUGAGGUCCAACUGAAGACAAAGUGGAUCAAACCAGUUCUGAGGCGGCCACGACCGGAAGUGAUGUCAUGUUACC
Molecule: long non-coding RNA, 389 nt
Organism: Haliotis rufescens (red abalone)
Lineage: Eukaryota; Metazoa; Mollusca; Gastropoda; Lepetellida; Haliotidae
Exons: 3
Source: RefSeq, a predicted model, not a curated record